Molecule: long non-coding RNA, 1161 nt
Filed under: Callithrix jacchus (white-tufted-ear marmoset)
Lineage: Eukaryota; Metazoa; Chordata; Mammalia; Primates; Cebidae
Description: lncRNA (ENSCJAG00000072746.1)
Source: RNAcentral
CCAGAGUAUGUUCUUAAAAAUUUAUUAAGUAGUCACUAAGUAGUUGUUAGUACUUGCUCAAAUUAAAUAUCCAGAAACUGAACUUAGUGCAUUAUUAGAUUUACUGAAGCCUCAAAUUCAGUAUGAAUUUACUAGGCUCAUUCUGUCUCAGUUAGACCAAUCCCUUACCUGUUUGGGCUUUGCACUUGCCAUUUCCUCUGCCUUGAAGUGCAGUCUCUGAGUGCUUCACACAGUUGGCUCCAUCCCCUCACUUUGGUAUCAGCUCAGUUGACUCCCCUACACCACCCCAUCUAAAAUAGCCACCAGCCAUUCUUGGUUACCUUACUCUGUUUUAUUUAGUAUGUUGCUUUUUCAUGUUUAUCGUUGGUUUCACCCUUAGAAUUUCAGCUUCAUGAAAGGGCCUGGUUUAUCUUGUUCAUAUCUAUGUCACCAGUGCCUAGAAACAAUAUCAAAUGCAUGCUAGGCACUCGAUAAAUAUUUGUUGGAUUAAAAAAUCUGUCUAGCUUCUAAGCAACUUCACAUACUAGCAUGCAGAUAUUAGGUUUUUUUUGCUUUUGUUUUUGUUUUUAGUUUUUGAGACAGUGUCUUGCCAGGCUGGAGUGCAGUGGUGUGAUCUUGGCUCACUACAGCCUCCACCUCCUGGGUUCAAGCAAUUCUCCUGCCUCAGCCUCCAGAGUAGUUAGGAUUAGAGGCAUGCACCACCACACACAGCUAAUUUUGAUUUUUAGUAGAGACAGCAUUUCUCCACAUUUGUCAGGCUAGUCUUGAACUCCUGACCUCAGGUGAUCUGCCCACCUCGGCCUCCCAAAGUGCUGGGAUUACAGGUGUGAGCCACUGUGCCUGGCGAUAGACUCAAACUUGCCAAGUAAGUUAACAAUUUUUAAUUCUUCAUUACAAAUACUAUAUCUGCAUGUUCCAUAUAAGGAACUGAUGUUGCUGAGACAUUUCUGAUUAGUUUUAAGCUCCAUCAUCAACAUAAUAAAUGAGUAUUUCUUCUUUUAAGUGAAUAUACAAUUCAUUUAACAUUCAAACUUCAUUAAGCCAUGUGUAAUAUGGCAAUUUUAGUGGAGAUUAAAACCUACCUAGGAUGAUUGCUUGCUGGGGCUAAGCAACAGGGUCAGGUUCACAUUUAGCACUAAUUUAAUUAAAUACUUCAUUGAA